Molecule: ribosomal RNA, 275 nt
Filed under: uncultured bacterium
Lineage: Bacteria
Description: partial 16S ribosomal RNA
Rfam family: Bacterial small subunit ribosomal RNA
Source: RNAcentral
CUAAGUUUGAUGGCGACCGGCGCACGGGUGAGUAACACGUAUCCAACCUGCCGAUGACUCGGGGAUAGCCUUUCGAAAGAAAGAUUAAUACCCGAUGGCAUAGUUCUUCCGCAUGGUGGAACUAUUAAAGAAUUUCGGUCAUCGAUGGGGAUGCGUUCCAUUAGGUUGUUGGCGGGGUAACGGCCCACCAAGCCUUCGAUGGAUAGGGGUUCUGAGAGGAAGGUCCCCCACAUUGGAACUGAGUCACGGUCCAAACUCCUACGGGAGGCAGCAUG